AUGAAGUUUACGGUUGCUAUCGGUCUUAUUCUUUCUUAUCCACAAGUUUACGAUUUCGACUUAGUGUCGGUUCUGUAUUUUUCUGGUUCAAUUCAGAGUUUUACGGUUUGGUUCCAUGGUUCAGGAUUUCGUUUCAGACGUAUAGAACUUCAAUGGAGAGUGCGGGAAUCUCAAUUACCAUUGGAAGAGCUGGAAGUGAUGAGUCGAAUAUGUAUUGAUGCUUAUGAAACUAAUGAUGAAAAGGACAUGCUCAGUAGAAGUUGUUAUUCGCUGAAAUUGAAUAUAUGCAGAAGAGGCUAUCAAGAAGAGGAUGGAAAAAGAUAUCGAUGA
Vicia faba (fava bean) is the source of this 330-nucleotide non-coding RNA. NCBI's taxonomy places the organism in Eukaryota, Viridiplantae, Streptophyta, Magnoliopsida, Fabales, Fabaceae. The record is from the annotation of a GenBank genome assembly.